RNAcentral lists this ribosomal RNA (253 nucleotides) under uncultured bacterium. Its description in RNAcentral is "partial 16S ribosomal RNA". It matches the Rfam family "Bacterial small subunit ribosomal RNA", at positions 524 to 776 of the family's 1533-position model. The record is from RNAcentral.
UACGUAGGGUGCAAGCGUUACUCGGAAUUACUGGGCGUAAAGCGUGCGUAGGUGGUUUGUUAAGUCUGAUGUGAAAGCCCUGGGCUCAACCUGGGAACUGCAUUGGAAACUGGCUUACUAGAGUGCGGUAGAGGGGUGUGGAAUUCCCGGUGUAGUGGUGGAAUGCGUAGAUAUCGGGAGGAACACCAGUGGCGAAGGCGGUUACCUGGAGCGUUGCUGACGCUGAUGCGCGAAAGCGUGGGGAGCGAUCCGG